Molecule: unclassified non-coding RNA, 295 nt
Organism: Erinaceus europaeus (western European hedgehog)
Lineage: Eukaryota; Metazoa; Chordata; Mammalia; Eulipotyphla; Erinaceidae
Gene: 7SK
Rfam family: 7SK RNA
About the family: 7SK was discovered as an abundant small nuclear RNA in the mid-70s but a possible function has only recently been suggested. Two independent studies have found that 7SK RNA binds the CDK9/cyclin T complex (known as elongation factor P-TEFb).
Source: Ensembl
GGAUGUGAGGGUGAUCUGGCUGCGGCAUCUGUCACCCCAUUGAACACCAGGGUUGAUUCGGCUGAUCUGGCUGGCUAGGCAGAUGUCCCCUUCCUCGCUGCUCCAUGUAUGUCCCUCCCAAAGCUACAUGCUCAGUCGAAGAGGAUGGCUUUCCCCGAAUAGACGGACUGGUCUUCGGUCGAGGGUAUACAAGUAGCUUUGCUCCCCUGCUAGACCCUCCAAACAGGCUCUCAAAGUACCAGGUUCAAUCCCCACACCACCACCACCAGAAGCCAGAGCUGAACACUGCUUUGGU